AACGAACGCUGGCGGCAGGCUUAACACAUGCAAGUCGAACGCCCCGCAAGGGGAGUGGCAGACGGGUGAGUAACACGUGGGAAUCUACCCUUUGCUACGGAACAACUCCGGGAAACUGGAGCUAAUACCGUAUGUGCCCUUCGGGGAAGAUUAUCGGCAAAGGACGAGCCCGCGUCGGAUUAGCUAGUUGGUGGGGUAAAGGCCUACCAAGGCGACGAUCCGUAGCUGGUCUGAGAGGAUGAUCAGCCACACUGGGACUGAGACACGGCCCAGACUCCUACGGGAGACAGCAGUGGGGAAUAUUGGACAAUGGGCGCAAGCCUGAUCCAGCCAUGCCGCGUGUGUGAUGAAGGCCUUAGGGUUGUAAAGCACUUUCGCCA
RNAcentral lists this ribosomal RNA (380 nucleotides) under uncultured bacterium. Its description in RNAcentral is "bacterial SSU rRNA". It matches the Rfam family "Bacterial small subunit ribosomal RNA", at positions 29 to 441 of the family's 1533-position model. The record is from RNAcentral.